UUAUUAUAUAUUUUUUUAUUUUAUUUUUUUUUAUUUUUAUUGUUUUUAGUAAAAUAUUGUUUUUGUUUUUGUAUUUUAUAUUGAUUUAAUUUAUUUAUGAUAGUUUAUUUGUACUGUAUGGGAAUAAAUGGAUAUUUAUAUAAGUUGAUUUUAUUUAUUGUACCUUGUGUAUCAGGAUUUAUUUAAAAUUAAUAUUGAUUUAUUGUUCUCGAUUUUAUUUGAGUUAAUUAACUAUUUUUUUUUAUUGUUUUAUAAUUAUUUAAAAUAGUUUAUUGGUAAUGAAAUGUUAUUCGUUUUUAAUGGUAUCUAGUUUUCUAAGAAAAAAAUUUAAUUUUUGUUUAUUUUUUAUUUUCUUAUUUUUAAGGAGUAUUUUAUUUAAUACUAAUAUCAUGAGGGAUUAGCUUAUUGAUUUAAUACUAUAAUUAUUACUAUUUUAUUUUGUUUUAUGGAUUUAAUAUUAAUUAUUGAUUUGAUAAAAUAUAAUUUUUAUUUUUUAUUUGUUAUUUUUUUUUAUUUAUUUAGGUUUUUUAUUAGAUUAUAAAUUUUAAUUAAUUAAUUAUUAUAUAUUAUUAUUAUAUAAUUAGUAUAUUUAUUUAAUAUAAUUUUUAUUUGUUUGUUUAAGUAGUUUAAAUUAAUUAGGCAAAUAUUAUUCUCGAUUGUUUAUCAAAAACAUUUUUUUUUGUUUUUAUUUAAGAUAUGACCUGCCCACUGAUUUAUUGAAUGGCCGCGGUAUUUUGACCGUGCAAAGGUAGCAUAAUCAUUAGUCUUUUAAUUGGAGACUGGAAUGAAAGGUUGAACGAAGUACUGACUGUUUUUUUAUUAUUUGUUAUUGAAUUUAAUUAUUUAGUUAAAGGGCUUAAAUUUUAUUAUGGGACGAGAAGACCCUAUAGAUUUUUACAUUAAUAUAAUUAUUUUUGUUUGUUUAUUUUUAUUAUUUAAUUUUUGUUUAGUUGGGGUGACUUAAAGAUAUACUUAACUCUUUAUAUUUUUAUAUACUUUUUUGUAUUAUUUUUGAUCCAUUAUUAUUGAUUAUUAGAUUAAAUUACCUUAGGGAUAACAGCGUUAUUUUUAUUAAGAGUUCUUAUUGACAUAAAAGAUUGCGACCUCGAUGUUGGAUUAAGAUUAAUUUUGGGUGUAGAAUUUCAAAUAAUUAAGUCUGUUCGACUUUUAAAAUCUUACAUGAUCUGAGUUCAAACCGGUGUAAGCCAGGUUGGUUUCUAUCUAUAAUUUUUUUAAUAUUCUAGUACGAGAGGACCGAAUAUAUUUGAAAUAAUUUUUGUUUUAUGUAUAAUAUUAAUU
Molecule: ribosomal RNA, 1299 nt
Filed under: Allacta transversa
Lineage: Eukaryota; Metazoa; Arthropoda; Insecta; Blattodea; Pseudophyllodromiidae
Description: 16S ribosomal RNA
Rfam family: Archaeal large subunit ribosomal RNA (bases 1053-1212)
Source: RNAcentral